Molecule: ribosomal RNA, 182 nt
Filed under: uncultured bacterium
Lineage: Bacteria
Description: partial 16S ribosomal RNA
Rfam family: Bacterial small subunit ribosomal RNA
Source: RNAcentral
UACGGGAGGCAGCAGUGGGGAAUAUUGGUCAAUGGGAGCAAUCCGUCACCAGCAAUGAGGCGUGUGGGAUGAAGGCGCUUCGCGUCGUAAGACACUGUCGGCCGGACGAAAGGAUCUAUCAAGCUGCAGGGCGGUACCGUCAAAGGAAGCAUCGGCCAAUUUGUGCCAGCAGCCGCGGUAAU